CAAACAUAGGUAGUGGACUAAGUAACAAAAUAGGGAAGGUGGGCUUUGGUACCGGGUAAAAAUGAACUGCUACCUUAAAGUUUGCUACUUUAUCAUUUAAAAAAAAAAAAAAAGAGCUGCAGGGUUUCUCCACUAAUAGAUCGUGCGCGCCCUACUCCACACCAGUUACCAUAGAUUUUUGGCGGCCUACUCCACAACUUGCUGCUACCGUCUUUGCUUCCCAUUCUGCACGCAUCUUUUCGCCAUAUAUCUCGUGCCCUAACAGCCACCAGAAAUUGUUGCCGCCACCGUUGCUUCGAGGUUUGUGGUUGUCUUCCUCGUCUUGUUGCCGCCACGGUUGCUGCGAGGUUUGUGGGUGUUGCCGUCUCUUUGUGAUUAUUGGCGUCGUACUCCGUCUUGUUGUCAAACUCAUCUCGUGGUUGUUGCUGUCAUCUCUAUUUUGCCGCUUCAGAGUGGUAUUGCGAGGCCAUGAGCACAAAGGUGAUUGUGAUAGAGAGAAACAAUACAGGUUUAUGGAGAUAGUGAAGUCUUUUGGAUCUUGAUGAGCAAGCUAUUGGGGAAUUUAGCUGUCAUCUUUUUGUAUCGUACCUACUCUUUCAUUAUUAUAUGUGUAGGUUAUACACUUAUAUGUAUGUUUAUUUUAGCCUAUUUUGUUUGGAAACCUUAAAAGAUGAACUUUGUCAUGUUUUAAUUGUAUUUCCUUCUAGUCAAUAUUAUUACAUAAUCAAGAUACUUGGGAACUAUGUAAAUUUUGGUUUGGAAAUUCUUUUAGCAUGUUUCUUUAGUAAGGAAGGCCAGUUGCCUACGUUUCAUACAGUACAUUUAAAAAAUAAAUAAAACUUAACGCAGCGGUUUGGAAUUGCUGCCUUUGUUGUUAAUAUUU
Lotus japonicus is the source of this 883-nucleotide long non-coding RNA. RefSeq lists it as uncharacterized. Lineage: Eukaryota; Viridiplantae; Streptophyta; Magnoliopsida; Fabales; Fabaceae. The transcript is spliced from 3 exons. The record is from RefSeq and is a predicted model, not a curated record.